Molecule: transfer RNA, 77 nt
Filed under: Chloroflexota bacterium
Lineage: Bacteria; Bacillati; Chloroflexota
Also listed under: 2 other names
Description: Chloroflexi bacterium tRNA-Gly
Rfam family: tRNA
About the family: Transfer RNA (tRNA) molecules are approximately 80 nucleotides in length. Their secondary structure includes four short double-helical elements and three loops (D, anti-codon, and T loops).
Source: RNAcentral
GCGCGAGUAACUCAAUCUGGCAGAGUUCCUGCCUUCCAAGCAGGUUGUUACGGGUUCGAGCCCCGUCUCGCGCUCCA